CGUAGAGAUGAUCUUAGUUCAGGAUCGAUCCUUGACGGUGUGCGUAAGCGGGACACGUCGAACAUCAACUCGAAGCUUAGUACCUAAUGUUAGUGUCCGACGGGUGAGUAACGGGUGGGUAAUGUGUCGGUACGAAUCUGGUAACUCCGGGUAGCCAAGGGUAAGAAUAGAUGCUUCUUUGAACAUCAUUGUUAAGGCAUAAAAAGUGGGUUCGGCCACCCCUUACAAAUGGGCCCGAGGUGCGUUAGGUAAUUGGUUGGGUAACGGCUCCCCAAGGCAAAGGUGCGUUGCCGACUUGAGAGGGUGAUCGGCCACACUGGGACUGAGACCCGGGCCAGACUUCUUCCGGAGGCAGCCAUCGGGGAUGUUCCGCAAACGACGAAAGUCAGCCGGAGCCACCCCGCCUGAGUGAUGAAGGUCUUCGGAUCUUAAAGCUCUGUUGUUAGGGAAGAACAAGGACCGUUUUAAUAGGGCGGUACCUUGACGGUACCUACCCAGAAAGCCCCGGCUAACUACGUGCCAGCAGCCGCGGUAAUACGUAGGGGGCAAGCGUUGUCCGGAAUUAUUGGGCGUAAAGGGCUCGCAGGCGGUUCGUUAAGUAUGAUGUGAAAGCCCCCGGCUCAACCUGGGAGGGUCAUUGGAAACUGGGGAACUUGAGUGCAGAAGAGGAGAGUGGAAUUCCACUUGUAGGGGUAAAAUGCUAGAUAAUGUGAGGACCACCCGGGGGAAAGGAGACUUUCUGGUACUGUAACGACGUGUGGAGGAAAGCGGAGGGGAAUUUU
This 782-nucleotide ribosomal RNA is filed under the name Bacillus mojavensis. RNAcentral's name for it is "bacterial SSU rRNA". It matches the Rfam family "Bacterial small subunit ribosomal RNA", at positions 1 to 772 of the family's 1533-position model. The record is from RNAcentral. Lineage: Bacteria; Bacillati; Bacillota; Bacilli; Caryophanales; Bacillaceae.